RNAcentral lists this long non-coding RNA (608 nucleotides) under Brassica napus (rape). Its description in RNAcentral is "long non-coding RNA (BNAP_LNC023637)". Lineage: Eukaryota; Viridiplantae; Streptophyta; Magnoliopsida; Brassicales; Brassicaceae. The record is from RNAcentral.
UUCGAUUAGACAAGGAAAAAGUGAAGCUAGCCAUAAGUCAUUCCUUUAACACUUGUAGCCCCAAGAAAACACCGCAACUCUUCCCAUAUCACUAAUGAGCGUUACAACAAGAUUUAAAAUAAAUUUUCGCAAAAAAAGAUAUCGUUAUGAUAUAUAGUUACUGUUCCAAUGCAACAAGAGACAAGUAUUCUUUACCAAAGUAUCUCUGAUGUCCCCUUCAACAUUACUGCUUCUUCUCCUUCUCAUUUUGCCGGCGAUAAUCGCCGUAGCAACAUUCCGGCCACACACUACCGGCGAGAAAUCUGAUCAGGGUUGUCAAGUAUUUAUUGUUCCUCCUUCAGCUCCAUCAACAAGACAUAAUAACUUGCCACAGAGAUCUCAACUUUCCUAUGGAAACCUGCCCUGACAUUAUCACCGACUAGGUCGCCGGAGUUAAUUAGAGAUGAAGCAGUGAUGUGUAUUCCUUGUAGUGAUCUUUUUCUUUUUGAAGGCUUCCUUGUAGUGAUCUCUCUCCGAAUAUAUACAUGUUCGGGGAGAAAAUGAAGUCAUGAACAUCGUUUGCCACUUUAUUUUUUUUAAGAGUUUUUUUUUUGUGCCACACACACCGU